UUAUGGGUGACCGUUGUGGAAGCCAUGGUG
Molecule: non-coding RNA, 30 nt
Filed under: Actinoplanes sp. SE50/110
Lineage: Bacteria; Bacillati; Actinomycetota; Actinomycetes; Micromonosporales; Micromonosporaceae
Source: RNAcentral